UAGUGGCGAACGGGUGAGUAACACGUGGGCAAUCUGCCCUUCACUCUGGGACAAGCCCUGGAAACGGGGUCUAAUACCGGAUAACACUCUGUCCCGCAUGGGACGGGGUUGAAAGCUCCGGCGGUGAAGGAUGAGCCCGCGGCCUAUCAGCUUGUUGGUGGGGUGAUGGCCUACCAAGGCGACGACGGGUAGCCGGCCUGAGAGGGCGACCGGCCACACUGGGACUGAGACACGGCCCAGACUCCUACGGGAGGCAGCAGUGGGGAAUAUUGCACAAUGGGCGAAAGCCUGAUGCAGCGACGCCGCGUGAGGGAUGACGGCCUUCGGGUUGUAAACCUCUUUCAGCAGGGAAGAAGCGAGAGUGACGGUACCUGCAGAAGAAGCGCCGGCUAACUACGUGCCAGCAGCCGCGGUAAUACGUAGGGCGCAAGCGUUGUCCGGAAUUAUUGGGCGUAAAGAGCUCGUAGGCGGCUUGUUGCGUCGGUUGUGAAAGCCCGGGGCUUAACCCCGGGUCC
Molecule: ribosomal RNA, 515 nt
Filed under: Streptomyces sp. 310G02
Lineage: Bacteria; Bacillati; Actinomycetota; Actinomycetes; Kitasatosporales; Streptomycetaceae
Description: bacterial SSU rRNA
Rfam family: Bacterial small subunit ribosomal RNA
Source: RNAcentral